This 252-nucleotide ribosomal RNA is filed under the name uncultured bacterium. RNAcentral's name for it is "partial 16S ribosomal RNA". It matches the Rfam family "Bacterial small subunit ribosomal RNA", at positions 524 to 776 of the family's 1533-position model. The record is from RNAcentral.
UACGUAGGGGGCUUGCGUUAUCCGGAAUUACUGGGCGUAAAGGGUGCGUAGGUGGUUUCUUAAGUCAGAGGUGAAAGGCUACGGCUCAACCGUAGUAAGCCUUUGAAACUGGGGAACUUGAGUGCAGGAGAGGAGAGUGGAAUUCCUAGUGUAGCGGUGAAAUGCGUAGAUAUUAGGAGGAACACCAGUUGCGAAGGCGGCUCUCUGGACUGUAACUGACACUGAGGCACGAAAGCGUGGGGAGCAAACAGG